Rattus norvegicus (Norway rat) is the source of this 116-nucleotide ribosomal RNA. The record is from Ensembl. NCBI's taxonomy places the organism in Eukaryota, Metazoa, Chordata, Mammalia, Rodentia, Muridae.
UAAUAUGGCCAUACCACCCUGAACGCGCCCAAUCUCGUCUGCAGGAAGCUAAGCAGGGUCGGAUCUGGUUAGUACUUGGAUGGGAGACCUCCUGGGAAUACCAGGUGCUUUAAAAA